This 687-nucleotide ribosomal RNA is filed under the name uncultured bacterium. RNAcentral's name for it is "bacterial SSU rRNA". It matches the Rfam family "Bacterial small subunit ribosomal RNA", at positions 140 to 813 of the family's 1533-position model. The record is from RNAcentral.
GGAAUACGCUCUGGAAACGGAGAACAAAUCCCGAUGUACAGGAAGGAGGCAUCUUCUUUCUGUGAAACAUCCUUUAGGGGAUGGGGCGCGGAUGGACCUGCGGUGCAUUAGUUUGUUGGCGGGGUAAAGGCCCACCAAGACGAUGAUGCAUAGCCGGCCUGAGAGGGCGGACGGCCACAUUGGGACUGAGACACGGCCCAGACUCCUGCGGGAGGCAGCAGUAGGGAAUUUUCGUCAAUGGGCGCAAGCCUGAACGAGCGAUGCCGCGUGAGUGAAGAAGGCCUUCGGGUCGUAAAGCUCUGUUGCGGGGGAAAAAAGGCAGCAUCAGGAAAUGGGUGCUGACUGAUGGUGCCCCGCCAGAAAGUCACGGCUAACUACGUGCCAGCAGCCGCGGUAAUACGUAGGUGGCGAGCGUUAUCCGGAAUGAUUGGGCGUAAAGGGUGCGCAGGCGGUCCUGCAAGUCUGGAGUGAAACGCAUGAGCUCAACUCAUGCAUGGCUUUGGAAACUGGAGGACUGGAGAGCAGGAGAGGGCGGUGGAACUCCAUGUGUAGCGGUAAAAUGCGUAGAUAUAUGGAAGAACACCAGUGGCGAAGGCGGCCGCCUGGCCUGUUGCUGACGCUGAGGCACGAAAGCGUGGGGAGCAAAUAGGAUUAGAUACCCUAGUAGUCCACGCCGUAAACGAAGAG